AAAAUGACUCUUCGCAAUGGAUAUCUCGGCUCUCGCAUUGAUAAAGAAGCGCAGUAAAUGUGAUACGUGGUGCGAAUUGCUGAAUCCCGUGAACCAUCAAGUCUUUAAACGCAAGUUGUGCCUAAGGCCAACCGGCUAAGGGCACGUCUGCCUGGGCGUCAAGU
This 164-nucleotide ribosomal RNA is filed under the name Coelogyne plicatissima. RNAcentral's name for it is "5.8S ribosomal RNA". It matches the Rfam family "5.8S ribosomal RNA". From Rfam's summary of the family: 5.8S ribosomal RNA (5.8S rRNA) is a component of the large subunit of the eukaryotic ribosome. It is transcribed by RNA polymerase I as part of the 45S precursor that also contains 18S and 28S rRNA. The record is from RNAcentral. Lineage: Eukaryota; Viridiplantae; Streptophyta; Magnoliopsida; Asparagales; Orchidaceae.